Molecule: ribosomal RNA, 253 nt
Filed under: uncultured bacterium
Lineage: Bacteria
Description: partial 16S ribosomal RNA
Rfam family: Bacterial small subunit ribosomal RNA
Source: RNAcentral
UACAGAGGAUGCGAGCGUUGUUCGGAAUUAUUGGGCGUAAAGGGCGCGUAGGCGGUGCGGUAAGUCACCUGUGAAAUCUCCUGGCUCAACUGGGAGCUUGCAGGCGAAACUGCCGUGCUGGAGUGUGGGAGAGGUGCGUGGAAUUCCCGGUGUAGCGGUGAAAUGCGUAGAUAUCAGGAGGAACACCGGUGGCGAAGGCGGAUCCCUGGGCCAUUACUGACGCUGAGGAGCGAAAGCGUGGGGAGCGAACAGG